AGCAGUAGCCGCGGUAAUACGGAGGAUCCAAGCGUUAUCCGGAAUCAUUGGGUUUAAAGGGUCCGUAGGCGGUCUUGUAAGUCAGUGGUGAAAGCCCAUCGCUCAACGGUGGAACGGCCAUUGAUACUGCAGGACUUGAAUUAUUGGGAAGUAACUAGAAUAUGUAGUGUAGCGGUGAAAUGCUUAGAGAUUACAUGGAAUACCAAUUGCGAAGGCAGGUUACUACCAAUUGAUUGACGCUGAUGGACGAAAGCGUGGGUAGCGAACAGGAUUAGAGACCCCCGUAGUCCCUGUCUCUUAUAC
Molecule: ribosomal RNA, 303 nt
Filed under: uncultured bacterium
Lineage: Bacteria
Description: partial 16S ribosomal RNA
Rfam family: Bacterial small subunit ribosomal RNA
Source: RNAcentral